CACGCAGCCAUGUGGUAAGCACAAAGCGAACUAUUCUUUCGCCUUUUACUAAAGAAUACCGUGUGCUCUCCACGCUAAGUGGCAUACGCCUAUUUUUGGAGGGCUCUCACUUUACAGUGGGACCCAACAUCUACCCUAGUGUAAACUUUUUAUGUGUGGCUAACGGUCUAUCAAUGGGCUCAAGGCACCAAAGCUCAUAAAAUGUGGCUAUAUAUGUUUGGCAAUAUCUUCUUAAUUUCUUAAAUGUGGCUAUGUUUCUCUCUCCAAUAUUUUGAGAAUUAC
Arabidopsis thaliana (thale cress) is the source of this 282-nucleotide RNA transcript. RefSeq lists it as uncharacterized. The record is from RefSeq. The transcript has a single exon. Lineage: Eukaryota; Viridiplantae; Streptophyta; Magnoliopsida; Brassicales; Brassicaceae.